Long non-coding RNA from Triticum aestivum (bread wheat), 1120 nucleotides. RefSeq lists it as uncharacterized. NCBI's taxonomy places the organism in Eukaryota, Viridiplantae, Streptophyta, Magnoliopsida, Poales, Poaceae. The record is from RefSeq and is a predicted model, not a curated record. The transcript is spliced from 2 exons.
ACUCGCUUCCUGCAGUUCGGCAAAUAUAUAUUUCGAGACUAAGUCGAGUGAACACGAGGGAAAUAAAAUUAUACGUCGGUGCAGUGUGGUCAUCUUACAGUCGGACAUAAUUAUUUCUUUUAUUACCUAUUUUUCCUUUUUUACUAAGAUUGCUUUAGUAGGUGGAUUUAGAAUAGACAAUUAUUAGAUGUGCACCUGGGUAAUUACCACUACUAGAAACCUCCACGUGCCCUCUCCCUUUCUCAAUUUCCAAGUCUCUCUCUCUCCUCUACUAGUCCUCCAUCGAACACAACACACACCAAUACUAGUCCACCAAGAACAGAACACACCAGUUCAAAAAAAAAAAGAACAGAACACACGCACAUGUCUUCUCUCCCUCCUAUUCCUCUGCUCCUAACCUAGACAGAUCGGCCACGCCGCCAGCGAUGGGAACAUGCUGCUCCGCCACUGCCGGACCUCUCUCUCUCUCCCCUGAUCCCAAAUCCCUAAUCUCUAAUCCCCUCUCAGAUUUGACUUGGAGGUUAGGUUCUUGUUGUGCUGUGAUUCAUCUGCUCCAGAUUGAAGCUGUCGGUGUUGGUGUCUGCGGUGCCGCUGGGUGUUGCAGAUAAGAAUUCAAAGGCAUGGCCAUGGAGCAGAUCGAGCAUAAGUGCGGAUAGAAAGAUGAAGACAGUGGGAGGAAGACAAGCUGCUGGUUUGGCUAUUUGGGGAAAAAUGGAGAUGUGUGAAGUCUUGGCAAUGGCUUGCUCUGCUGUCUCUUCUUUUAAUAUCAGAAAACCAUCUUCCUUGGCUGGUAUGGCUGCCCAUCCCCUUCUCCAUUGUUCUCACAGGUGCUAGCUUCUAAUUGGCUGAAGGUUGAAGCCCAUACAUAGACUAUAUUGCUGACCCAUUGACUAUUAAUCUAUUGUGCACGUGAGGGUGGUGGUCAGUGUGUGUCUCAAAUGUGUCCUGCUAUUCUGGUUGACCCAGAGAUAUUUUUAGGUUGGUCUAAGUUUGUUUGGCAUUGUUGUAUAGAUUAGCAUAGUUUAGUCUCCCUCCAUUUUCUUUUUCCAAAGAUUUGUAAUACACUUGUACAGCUGUACUGUUUGAGGUGUAUGAAUAUAAAUAUAUAUUUGAGUGGUUA